RNAcentral lists this transfer RNA (65 nucleotides) under Cnemaspis limi. RNAcentral describes it as "tRNA-Tyr". The record is from RNAcentral. Lineage: Eukaryota; Metazoa; Chordata; Lepidosauria; Squamata; Gekkonidae.
GGUAGGGUGGCCGAAAAAGGCGGCGAGCUGUAGACUCGCAGAUGGAGCAAGAGUUCCCGCUACCA